This is a long non-coding RNA of Polypterus senegalus (gray bichir), 399 nucleotides long. RefSeq lists it as uncharacterized. Lineage: Eukaryota; Metazoa; Chordata; Cladistia; Polypteriformes; Polypteridae. The transcript is spliced from 3 exons. The record is from RefSeq and is a predicted model, not a curated record.
GAAAAAAGCCAUUUCUACACGACCGAAUCCCCGGGUUAAAGAUGAAAUGUGACUGGUCUUCCCUGUCAUUUUAUAGCAACACUGAUGCUACGGACACAGGUCUAGGCGCCGUUCUGAGCCAAAGCAUCGAUGGUGUCGAGCACCCCGUGAUUUACCUGAGCCGGAAACUGUUGGACCAGGAGACAAGAAAGAAUGAAGCACCUCCACCAUGAAUUCACCUGGACUCGCUAAGAGAAACAAGCGACUUCUGGGUUCCUUCCUUCCCUCUGGUCCCCUUCUGAUGACAUUGUUACUUCCAUCUACCACCACAGUUCCUUCCCAGCAUUCCGUUUGUCUACUUCCGGUCCCACCCCAUAAAUUGUCCACCUGUCAAUUCCACCAUUGUCUGUUGUACUCUGA